RNAcentral lists this ribosomal RNA (253 nucleotides) under uncultured bacterium. RNAcentral's name for it is "partial 16S ribosomal RNA". It matches the Rfam family "Bacterial small subunit ribosomal RNA", at positions 524 to 776 of the family's 1533-position model. The record is from RNAcentral.
UACGGGGGGAGCAAGCGUUGUUCGGAUUUACUGGGCGUAAAGGGCGCGUAGGCGGUAGCACAAGUCAGUUGUGAAAUCUCCGGGCUUAACUCGGAAAGGUCAACUGAUACUGUGCGACUAGAGUGCAGAAGGGGCAACUGGAAUUCUCGGUGUAGCGGUGAAAUGCGUAGAUAUCGAGAGGAACACCUGCGGCGAAGGCGGGUCUCUGGGCAGUAACUGACGCUGAGGAGCGAAAGCGUGGGGAGCGAACAGG